RNAcentral lists this transfer RNA (120 nucleotides) under Sclerotinia borealis F-4128. It matches the Rfam family "tRNA". From Rfam's summary of the family: Transfer RNA (tRNA) molecules are approximately 80 nucleotides in length. Their secondary structure includes four short double-helical elements and three loops (D, anti-codon, and T loops). Further hydrogen bonds mediate the characteristic L-shaped molecular structure. tRNAs have two regions of fundamental functional importance: the anti-codon, which is responsible for specific mRNA codon recognition, and the 3' end, to which the tRNAs corresponding amino acid is attached (by aminoacyl-tRNA synthetases). tRNAs cope with the degeneracy of the genetic code in two manners: having more than one tRNA (with a specific anti-codon) for a particular amino acid; and 'wobble' base-pairing, i.e. permitting non-standard base-pairing at the 3rd anti-codon position. The record is from Rfam by way of RNAcentral. Lineage: Eukaryota; Fungi; Ascomycota; Leotiomycetes; Helotiales; Sclerotiniaceae.
GGUGAGAUGGCCGAGUUGGUCUAAGGCGCCAGGUUAAGGUUAUUUAUUAACCGCUUCAAAACGGUUAAUUCCAAUCUCCUGGUCUGGAAACAGGCGUGGGUUCAAAUCCCACUCUCAUCA